This 253-nucleotide long non-coding RNA is filed under the name Pan troglodytes (chimpanzee). RNAcentral describes it as "long non-coding RNA NONPTRT016610". The record is from RNAcentral. Lineage: Eukaryota; Metazoa; Chordata; Mammalia; Primates; Hominidae.
UGUGUGUGUAUGCACCCCCACACACAUUGUUAUAUAUAGAGUAUGUUUUGGAACUUGAAAACCCAAUUCCUCAGUGCACAGUCUCAGAAUCACACUGAGUUUCGAUGACAGGAUUAGAAAUACUCACACAACUCCAUGCUAAGUGGGCAGCUGUGCCUGGCUUACCUGCCGUCUGUUUCUCUUUAUCAUAUGGGCAUCAAAGCAGGAUAGCUUAGCACCCUGGUCUCAAGGCUUGCUCAAAAAAAAAAAAAUG